Molecule: long non-coding RNA, 831 nt
Organism: Leptopilina heterotoma
Lineage: Eukaryota; Metazoa; Arthropoda; Insecta; Hymenoptera; Figitidae
Exons: 4
Source: RefSeq, a predicted model, not a curated record
AUGGAUGUCCAGCCUCCAGCAGUUUUAUCGACAAAAAUGACAAAAAUCGACAAACAUCUUGUAAAUUAAGUUAAAUUUUCUACAAAUUAGUAAAGCAUCGAGUGUUUCAAUGUCCUAUCUAAAUGAUUUACAUAUUAGAAGACUUCUCCAUAUGAUUACAUAUUCCGGACCGGAUUGCGAAUAUUCGCAGCGAGUCAAAGGAGUGCCAGACACACAUUUUAUAUAUAUGCAGUUCCUAUAAGAAAUCUGGAUUUCUUAUUUUCUUCAAGUUCCCUUUCAACAACGUGUGUACAUAUAUGCAGGUUGAAGUUUCGCGCUAUGCGAAAAUACACAUUUAAAGUAGUAAACGAAGGGAAAUGCCUCUCCUGUAAAUCGCAGCUUCGCACGCUUUGUCGGUUUAUCUGGUUUUGAAUUUAUAAAAGCAACAUCAAAAGGAAUCGGUCAAACUGGACUGUGUGCACAUGGUGAACACCUUUACACAAAGAAUAUUGCUUUCAUGAAAUUAGAACGUCGCGCAAAGGAGCUUUACAGGUCGAGUCUCAAACACGACAUGAGAUAGGAAAGUAACCGAUGCGUUUCAUUUUGCGGAAAAAAAAUUUCAUUUUCACAUUAUAUUGCAAAAUACCAAGGACGCCUAUGGAGAAAAUGCGCCUAUAGGGACACCAACUCACUUUUACCUGGAUUUUUUCUAGAUCAGGCGCAUAAUCGAAAUGUCACGGAUCGUUUGAUACAUUUCAUGAGAGUAUAACUCAUGUGUGUGUUUCCGUUUCUUUUUUUUUCUUAACGGAGCCAGAAGGUCAGGACUUGCAAUAUGUUAAUUUCAAAUACACA